This 101-nucleotide ribosomal RNA is filed under the name uncultured bacterium. Its description in RNAcentral is "partial 16S ribosomal RNA". It matches the Rfam family "Bacterial small subunit ribosomal RNA", at positions 338 to 440 of the family's 1533-position model. The record is from RNAcentral.
CCUACGGGAGGCAGCAGUGCGGAAUCUUCCGCAAUGGACGAAAGUCUGACGGAGCACAACCGCGUGAGGAAGAAGGGUUCGGCUUGUAAAACUUUGGAUGU